UUGACGGUAUCGCUUAUGGCAUCGUAGUGUACUUGGUUGCCAGGAUAGUACAUACUAGAUAUGUAGUUGGCUUUGAGACAUAUAUCAUACUUCAUAGUAUUACAUGUUGCAUCAUAGCAUAUUUGUUUAAGUAUUGGCAUACUGGUUCAUGUAGAGUAGAUGUACUCCAUGUUGACAUUCUACAUACUUAUGGCAUAGUAGAGUAGCAUCUUAUUAUUAUGCUUCAUUUACCGCAGUUAAAUUCUAUUAACUUU
RNAcentral lists this long non-coding RNA (254 nucleotides) under Ananas comosus (pineapple). Its description in RNAcentral is "long non-coding RNA (ACOM_LNC039430)". The record is from RNAcentral. Lineage: Eukaryota; Viridiplantae; Streptophyta; Magnoliopsida; Poales; Bromeliaceae.